RNAcentral lists this non-coding RNA (203 nucleotides) under Sinorhizobium meliloti GR4. The record is from RNAcentral. Lineage: Bacteria; Pseudomonadati; Pseudomonadota; Alphaproteobacteria; Hyphomicrobiales; Rhizobiaceae.
GCGGCGAAGUCAGAAAAGCCGGCGGAUGAGUUGGUUGGAAUUUGAAAUCCUGACCGCACGCUUCACGCUGCCAGUCCCACACAUUACUCGAACUUGGGCGCAGGCUCGGAUAUGACGCGGGUUACUCUCGGGAAGAGCCGGGUGCGGGAAAUCCGCCCGCCCGGAUCUGUGAGGGCGAAGCCGAAUGGCAUAGCUACUCGACC